GGCCGGCGGACGGGCGCCUCUGAGGGGCCGCGAGGGCGCGGCGUGCCCGGCUCCCGUCUUCUCCCUCCGGCACCUCGGCCUGGCGGCUCCUGACCGCGUGCGCGGCUCGUUGCGCAGCUGUACGGCCGUGGCCCUGAGAGAGCCGCCAAGCUUAACUUUCAGCAGAGAGGAACAUGUUGCCAGUAAACUGAGGAAUCAACAGUGCUGAUCUUUAGGGAGUCUCUCUUACGCUUGUCUACAAUCUAAAAUGAAGAUACGAUCCCUAACAGGAGAAACACAUAUGGAUGCAAAAAACCUGUGAGACUAACCCAGGAAACACUGGACUAAAACAAGAAAAGAUAUUCCAGCUUCACCUCAAGCAGGUUUGGAGGCUGUGGCUCCCUACCCUAUCAUAGUUACACUUAAAUUUACCAGUGGUGAUGAAAGCCAUAUUUCCUUUUUUAGUUAAAAAAAAAAAUCCUAUUGACUAUAAGACUUCUAACCAUAAGGUAUUUCUUGAAACUGGGUCAUUUUGUCAAGACUAGGACAACUAUACGAGAACAUCAGAGGUGGGAGAAGGAAGUGUUAAAAACAAGGAGCGAGGAACAGCAACCACUUAAUCACAGGAAAUGAUUCACCAAAAUAAUUGAUGAAUUUUAGAAUAGUCACAGGUUGGCCUGUGAGGGAGCCAGAAUGAGGGAGAAAAUACUGAUGCAAAGAGUGGCAGAGAUACAACAGAACCUGCCUGCUUCAGUAACAGCAGAGGAGCCAAGCUGACUUUGCAAAGGAGUGACCACCUUGGUGGAGUAAGUUGACCUGGCUACCUAGCAAGUACGAGCACUAGUGAAAGAAAAUGUGCUGUCUGAAAGAAUGAUGCCUGUAAAAAUAAAUGCAAUAACUCUACAGUUUGAACUACUGUGUUUUGGUGCAGCGGUACUGGGGUCAGCAGUGCUUAUUCUUCCUUGCAUUUUCUAAAACGUGCGUGGAAAUGGUAUAGACUUGGCAAAGUGAAGGUAAUUCUCUUUUAAAAGAGAGUUCCUGAAGCAGUCUGCUGUAGCUGUGUGCUUUCUUUUCUAAAAAAGGGUUGGAAACCAAAUAGUAUCCAUUGCGUUGUAGUCUAUAUAUUGUUAAGUGUAGGUGGAAUUUCUUGUUUACCUUUUUUAUUGCUAUUGUACACUUAUCAGUAUUUCAAUGACUUUUCCACACCAAGCCUUUAAUUCUUUUUCUGAUGAUGCGAUUGCCGAUUGCACUGUUUGCCUUGCACUCCCCCACUCGCACAUUAAAUUAGUUUACAACUGUUUGCCCUGGCCUGAUUUUGACAUCUGCUGAAUCAAUUACCUGAAUCGCUAGCAUCUUUUUGAAGCUCAGGGCAUUGCUUUCUUUGUUUUUCUCCAAACUCGAGGGACUUGAAGGAUUUAUAACCACUCACUCGGUUUUUAGAGUUACAUUUUAUUCAGUGUGAGUUUUUUUCGGGGUCUGCAGUCCUUGCCUCUACAAACGGGGAAGCGAACUGCCGCCACCAGUCCGCAGAGGCCCUCGAGUCCCGCUACCCGCUGGGAGCCGUUUCAGUUUCUGCGUGGCGUUGUUUGAGGAUCUGUCUUCCAAAUUUUCUUCUUUAACCCCGACAGCGUGUCCGUACGCACACGUACAGCCGUACCAAGGCUGAAGAGUGCCAGCUGCUGGCUCUCAGGGUGCUGACGGCGCUCCCGCCCGGCGCUCCUUCUGGCACCGCUACACCCCGACUUCGGUGCGGCUCGGCGGGGAGCAGAAGCGGCGAACGCAGCGGAAAGCGGCGACUGCGCGCGUGGUGCAGCGCGGGACGAGGCGCGGCGCCACGGCGGGGCCGGGAGCGCAGGGCGGGGGAGCAAUAGAACCGCUCCUUCCCUCGGCCGCGGUCGGUUCUGCUUCUCGCCGGGUCGCUGCCCGCGCUCCCGUGCGCUGUCACACGCACCCCAGGCGGGGGCUGCGCCGUAACCGCCGCUGGGAACCGCGCGCUCGCACCGAGGGGCCCCGG
Non-coding RNA from Phasianus colchicus (ring-necked pheasant), 1993 nucleotides. Lineage: Eukaryota; Metazoa; Chordata; Aves; Galliformes; Phasianidae. The record is from RefSeq and is a predicted model, not a curated record.